This 580-nucleotide ribosomal RNA is filed under the name uncultured bacterium. Its description in RNAcentral is "bacterial SSU rRNA". It matches the Rfam family "Bacterial small subunit ribosomal RNA", at positions 102 to 669 of the family's 1533-position model. The record is from RNAcentral.
ACGGGUGAGUAACACGUAGGUAACCUGCCCAUAAGACUGGGAUAACUACCGGAAACGGUAGCUAAUACCGGAUAGGUUCUUCUCUCGCAUGGGAGGAGAAAGAAAGACGGAGCAAUCUGUCACUUAUGGAUGGACCUGCGGCGCAUUAGCUAGUUGGUGAGGUAACGGCUCACCAAGGCGACGAUGCGUAGCCGACCUGAGAGGGUGAUCGGCCACACUGGGACUGAGACACGGCCCAGACUCCUACGGGGGGCAGCAGUAGGGAAUCUUCCGCAAUGGGCGAAAGCCUGACGGAGCAACGCCGCGUGAGUGAUGAAGGUUUUCGGAUCGUAAAGCUCUGUUGCCAGGGAAGAACGUCUCUUAGAGUAACUGCUAAGAGAGUGACGGUACCUGAGAAGAAAGCCCCGGCUAACUACGUGCCAGCAGCCGCGGUAAUACGUAGGGGGCAAGCGUUGUCCGGAAUUAUUGGGCGUAAAGCGCGCGCAGGCGGUCAUUUAAGUUGGGUGUUUAACCCCAGGGCUCAACCCUGGGUCGCACCCAAAACUGGAUGACUUGAGUGCAGAAGAGGAGAGUGGAAUUC